UCAAGUAGAAAAGGGCGCAUGGUGAAUGCCUAGGCACUAGAAGCCGAUGAAGGACGUGACGAACCACGAAAGGCUUCGGGGAGCAGUAAGUAAGCGAUGAUCCGGAGAUAUCCGAAUGGGGGAACCCAAUACCGCGAGGUAUUAUCAAGAGCUGUUAAGGCUGUUGAAGGAAGACGCAGUGAACUGAAACAUCUAAGUAGCUGCAGGAAGAGAAAGAAAAAUCGAUUUCCCAAGUAGCGGCGAGCGAACAGGAAAGAGCCCAAACCAGCUGGCUUGCCAGUUGGGGUAGUAGGACUGCAAUAAAGUACUUGAAGCGAUAGCAGAAUUAUCUGGAAAGAUAAGCCAGAGAGGGUGAGAGCCCCGUAAGCGAAAUUGCAGAGAGACUUAGCAGGAUCCUGAGUAGGUCGGGACACGAGGAAUCCCGAUUGAAACCGCGAGGACCAUCUCGCAAGGCUAAAUACUAACUAGUGACCGAUAGUGAACCAGUACCGUGAGGGAAAGGUGAAAAGAACCCCGGAAGGGGAGUGAAAGAGAACCUGAAACCGUGUGCCUACAAGUAGUCAAAGCACAUUAAAGUGUAAUGGCGUGCCUUUUGUAGAAUGAACCGGCGAGUUACGUUAUGGUGCAAGGUUAAGUCAGAAAAGACGGAGCCGGAGCGAAAGCGAGUCUGAAGAGGGCGAGAGAGUAUCAUGACGUAGACCCGAAACCAAGUGACCUACCCAUGACCAGGUUGAAGGCGUGGUAAAACACGCUGGAGGACCGAACCCACGUGAGUUAAAAAUCGCGGGGAUGAGUUGUGGGUAGCGGUGAAAUUCCAAACGAACUUGGAGAUAGCUGGUUCUCUCCGAAAUAGCUUUAGGGCUAGCCUCGUGUGAAUGAUAAUGGAGGUAGAGCGCUGUUUGGACUAGGGGCCCGUCAGGGGUUACUGAAUCCAGAUAAACUCCGAAUGCCAGAUAUCAAUGCACGGGAGUCAGACUGCGAGUGAUAAGAUCCGUAGUCGAAAGGGAAACAGCCCAGAUCACCAGUUAAGGUCCCCAAAUCUAUGCUAAGUGGAAAAGGAUGUGGAGUUGCGUAGACAACUAGGAUGUUGGCUUAGAAGCAGCCACCAUUUAAAGAGUGCGUAAUAGCUCACUAGUCGAGUGACGCUGCGCCGAAAAUGUACCGGGGCUAAGCAUAGUACCGAAACUGUGGAUGCAUAUCAAAGGAUAUGCGUGGUAGGAGAGCGUUCUAAGAGCGGCGAAGUUAGAUCGAGAGGACUAAUGGAGCGCUUAGAAGUGAGAAUGCCGGUAUGAGUAGCGAAAGAUAGGUGAGAAUCCUAUCCGCCGAAAGACUAAGGUUUCCUGGGGCAGGCUCGUCCGCCCAGGGUAAGUCGGGACCUAAGGUAAGGCCGAGAGGCGUAGCCGAUGGACAACAGGUAGAGAUUCCUGUACUGAAAUUGUUCGAUAAGAGCAAAGGAGGGACGCAGGAGGCUAAUGACGCAUGUAGCUGGAAAAACAUGUGCAAGCAGUAAGAAAAAAGAUGAGUCAAAUGCUUAUGUUUAGAUUUCAAGCUGUGACGCGGAGUGAAAUCAAAGUAGCGAAGGUCAUGAUGUCACACUGCCAAGAAAAGCUUCUAGCCAGAGCAAUUUUACCCGUACCGCAAACCGACACAGGUAGUCGAGUGGAGAACACUCAGGUGAGCGAGAGAACUCUCGUUAAGGAACUCGGCAAAAUGACCCCGUAACUUCGGGAGAAGGGGUGCUGAUGGUAAAAGAUCAGCCGCAGUGAAUAGGCCCAAACAACUGUUUAUCAAAAACACAGGUAUCUGCAAAAUCGUAAGAUGACGUAUAGGUGCUGACACCUGCCCGGUGCUGGAAGGUUAAGAGGAGAGCUUAGCGCAAGCGAAGGUUUGAAUUGAAGCCCCAGUAAACGGCGGCCGUAACUAUAACGGUCCUAAGGUAGCGAAAUUCCUUGUCGGGUAAGUUC
Molecule: ribosomal RNA, 1964 nt
Filed under: human gut metagenome
Description: bacterial LSU rRNA
Rfam family: Bacterial large subunit ribosomal RNA
Source: RNAcentral